RNAcentral lists this long non-coding RNA (743 nucleotides) under Homo sapiens (human). Its description in RNAcentral is "HSALNT0126893". The record is from RNAcentral. Lineage: Eukaryota; Metazoa; Chordata; Mammalia; Primates; Hominidae.
CUUUGUUUUACAAACAUAUAAAUUAUUUUAUUUACAAAGCCAUGUUACAAAAAAAAAAAAAGCAAAAAAAAAAAAAAAAUACAAUUGCUUACUGGAGAAUAUUUCCAGGCCUGGUGAGGAACCAUGGCAGUAUCAAUAGAUACAUGUUUGUUCUUUCCUUUUAAAACUGUAAGCCAUAGAAUUUACUAUUUACACCUACUUUAGACAUUUAUUCUUGUUACAAAAUAUGGAUUGUAGAAAAGAAACCCACUCCACAAGUGUGGCAUUUGUUUAGAAUGAUCGGACAUGCUUUCUUCAAAAUUUUUCUGGAAAAGGUUCUAAAAUUGGUAGUAGGAAAGGACAAAUGAGCAGGUGCAAAUUCUUGUCUGUGCAACAACAGUUAUUUAAUAUACCCCAUGACUGACCAGCUACGUAAAACCCACAGAGUUUUGUUAAAGUGCCAUGGGCCGACAGCAUAACAAAAUAUAAGGUGUAAAUAGAAAAUUUCUUUUUUUCCUUUUUUAAAACAAGAGUUCACUGAGAAUCAGCAAUAAUAGAAUAUGCUGUAUAAACUAUUCUCUACAAAGGUUGAUCAGCAUUAUUUACAAUUGGUACAUUGAUACAAAAGAAGGCAUACAAGUUAUCCAAGUCGCUUUUUUUUUUUUUUUUUUUUUUUUAUGGCUGACAGGUCUAUGCAUUGCGUUAUGCUUCACAACCAGAGCUUUCGAGCCUCUAUGGCUGGCGACAAGUCAGGAGAUCUUCAG